This 2836-nucleotide long non-coding RNA is filed under the name Nicotiana tabacum (common tobacco). RNAcentral describes it as "long non-coding RNA (NTAB_LNC013160)". Lineage: Eukaryota; Viridiplantae; Streptophyta; Magnoliopsida; Solanales; Solanaceae. The record is from RNAcentral.
UUCUAGAUUCUAGAGAGAAGUAGGAGUUUCUCUCUCUAGAGUCCAUCAUAUCUAAAUUCGGCUGUCCCAAAAUACUAUCCGUAGCUCCGGUGCCGCAUGAUGCCGGAAAAUACAUAGAAUGCUGCCUGAAUCCGAAGAUUUUCGCCGGAAAAUAGAAAAUAUCUUCUGAUUUAGGAGGAACUAGGGUGGGAAGGCUCGGAAUAGCCUCGCGAAGAGGCUGUAUGAAGAAGAAGUAUUGAGGUCUGGUCGUAGAAAGCCUCACCCGUCGCCGUAAAAUAGUAAAAGUCGUCGGAAUUUGGAUGUUUUUGGACGGGAAGACUCGGAACAGCCUCGUGAUGAGGCUGUCUGAAGGAGAAAAAGUGAGAUCUAGCCGGGAUAUGCCUCACGCGCCGGCGCGUGGCUGAGAAGUCGUCGGAACUGGGCCGCGCGUGAGGGCGCGUGGGUGGUUGUACGCCGGAGAUUCUAGCUGGGUUUUGGUCGCGAUAGGCUUGUCUCUUGGAGGGUGGUGGUACAAUCCUAGGAUUCAUGAAAGAUAAAUGUCUUGGGGUAAGUGCCUUCCUCCAUAUCUGAUGUUUGGUUUUGGGACUUCCUUUUACAUGCUAACCUACACGUAUAUCUGAGCGAUUGAUUUGUAUUUGUUGUUUAGUUUGCAUAUCUCUGACACAUGGGCAGAGAGAAGAAUAUCAUAUGGCUUUUACCUUUUCCUUUAAACAUAAACCAUAUAACAUUCUAGCGUCAAGUGCCGACCCUUCUACUGUUUCUUUGUAACUGGAAUAUGGUUCAAGUAAUUUCAGCCUGUUUAUGGUAGAGCUCUCAACUUAAGUCAUCAUCCCUCCCACUUCUCCCUCAUAAUAUAAGGAUGAUCUGAGGUCAUUAAGCUCAAUUAUCCCCAACAAAAUCAUGAUGGGCAAAUUUCAGAAUCUACUCUUCCCAUCCUUUAGUGUUACUAACUAAAAUUUUCUUCUCUCAAGUUUCCACUGCCAGCUCUCUCCUCCCAUCUAUUAGUGUCACUGACUUGUAAUGGGACAUCGUUCAGAGGUUGACAAAUGCAUCGCCUUGAAAGGAGCUAGGAUUUACUGCUUUUCAGUAAUCCACUUGUGAAGUAGCUAUCAACUUGUUGGCUUGGCUAGGAUAUGUUGUGGAGUUCCAAAUAUCCAAAUGUUCUUACCGGAGAGACAAAGAUAUUUCAUCUUUGCUUCCGUACAAUUGCUAAUUUUACUAGUAAGAGUUUGCUGAUGCCUUUGGCUAUUGUCUCCUGCUUGACAGAGGGUUUGAAACCCUUGUUGAUUAUAACUGGACCCAAAAGUAUUAGGAGGGCUAGCAGAAGACGUCUUUGAAGACUUACCGACACAAGUACAAACAUCCUAGUUUGGAUGCACAUGUCCCUGAUGUGUUUGGUUCGAAAUCAUGAGAUAGUAACCAUCGACCGUACUCUCUGUUUGAUUUUUGCUAGGUGGUUUAUUUUGGGUCAGUAUAGUGAAGGUCCGAAGGCAUUCUGACCUGUUUGAUCUAUUACGCAGUUUUUAGUUUUAAUACUUGGCGAGCUUUUGCUCUAUGAAUUUGAGAUUUUUUUAAUUUAGGUCAAGGUGCAUGUGGAUUGUAGAUGCACUUGUGCUUAUGUGGCUUCAGCAAGUUUCCACAAUCCGAGCUGCAAAUAAAUUAUCUUACUACAUCUUCAUUGCAACUUGUAUCUUGUGCCAAAAUAAUGCGUAUAUUUUCCUGUUCAAGGCUUUCACCUUGUGAGGUUGGAAUUGCUAGAAUUUUCUAUAUAGGCAAGUGAUAAUGAGAAAAAUGAUGCAUUUAAGUUGUUUAUGAGCCAACUGUUCUUUACCUUUCCGUGUUAUCUUGAUUAUUUCUUUUUGGCAGGUGAUGGGGGACCUCCUCAGUCCAGCGUUGAUGCGGAAGCUGCGCAAUGAACCUUAUAGCUAAUGUUUGAGAACAUCAUCCAUCUGUUUGGGAUCGUUUCAAUUUUCUAUGUUCAUAGCUAUUAAAACAUUUGUUCUACUAUUUCUAGCAAGAACUGUAUAGAAAUUCUUGUGGUGUUAUGCUUCUAGUUUUAUUAGAAGUUUGGUAUUACUAACAUAAGUUUUACUUUACUAAGAAAAAUCAGAGAGAAUGUUGUGGUGUUCCUUCUAGGUUAUGUUCUGAAAUGACACUCAAUUAGAGCUGACCGAACCUUUUGAAGCUGGUGGUUGUUUCACUUUUGGUUGAUAUUGUGAUGGUAUAGUAUUUUGUUUUUGUUCUAACUGGUUUUCAAGAUUAAACCUUCUCGUUUAUUCAUCAUGUAUGUGAGUGCUAAGUUGAAAACACCUGGUAUUGAUCUUGGGAAAGGUUGGUGUUGCUUAGAGGUUACAGUGGUAAACUCCCUAACUUGAUUUCUUUAUAUUUUAAUGCACGUGUUCUCUGUUUCUGAUUAGGUCCUAUACUGAGGCAACACCUUCUGUGAUGAAAAGAAAAUGCCUAACUGUAACUGAGGAUGAUAAUGAUGAUGGAGAAGCAAGAAAAAUCCUCAAGAGCAUUGGAGAAUCUGACAUUUCAGUUGGAAGAUGAUGACUUCUGCUUCUUUUAAGAUAUGAAUACUGAACACCUAGAUACAAUUUUUUCAAUGAAAGGGAGUCCGCAAAUAUGUUUUGUCUUUGUUCGUGUCAAUGUAAAGGGAGAGGCAAAUACAUGCUUUGUCUUUGUUUGUAUUGUUGAACUAAAUCUUUACUUGUUUCUCAAUUGAAAUGAUUUUCUUUUAAGAUUUGAGUAGGGAACAUCGAGGUGCAGUUGUUUAAAUAUAAAGGGAGAGAUUUUAACUAAUUUGCAUUUUUUUAAAAUUUCAAUUUAUUAAUGU